This 1714-nucleotide ribosomal RNA is filed under the name Sillago indica (Indian whiting). Its description in RNAcentral is "16S ribosomal RNA". It matches the Rfam family "Bacterial large subunit ribosomal RNA". Lineage: Eukaryota; Metazoa; Chordata; Actinopteri; Sillaginidae. The record is from RNAcentral.
CGCCCAUUAGCUAGCCCCUCAACUAGAAAUAUCAACCCAUCAUAAAUUAAACCAUAAUUCCCCUUACUCAAACUAACCAAAACAUUCUCCCCCCUUAGUAUGGGCGACAGAAAAGGGACAUGAGGAGCAAUAGAGAAAGUACCGCAAGGGAACGCUGAAAGAGAAAUGAAAUAAACCAGUAAAGCCUAUAAAAGCAGAGAUUUCCCCUCGUACCUUUUGCAUCAUGAUCUAGCCAGUAAAUCUUAAGCAAAGAGCGCUUUAGUUUAAUACCCCGAAACUAUGGUGAGCUACUCCGGGACAGCCUAUAAUAGGGCCAAUCCGUCUCUGUGGCAAAAGAGUGGAAAGAGCCCCGAGUAGUGGUGACAGACCUAUCGAACCUAGUUAUAGCUGGUUGCCUGAGAAAUGGAUAGGAGUUCAGCCUCAUGGCUUCUACCCUUAAAACCUUAUUAAUUUAUACCAAGAGAACAAAGGAAACCAUGAGAGUUAAUCAAAGGAGGCCCAGCUCCUUUGAUAAAAGACACAACUUUAGCAGGAGGGUACAGAUCAUAUUUUCUUCAAGGCUCAGUGUCCUGGUGGGCCUAAGAGCAGCCAUCCAUUCAAAAAGCGUUAAAGCUCAAACACAUCAGCCUCCCCUGUAAUAACGAUAAUAACAUCUUAACCCCCUAAACCCUAUCAGGCCGUUCCAUACCCCUAUGGAAGUGAUAAUGCUAGAAUGAGUAAUAAGAGAGUGAGCCUCUCUCCCCGCACACGUGUACCUCGACCCGGACUAACCGUCGAAAUUUAACGGCCCCUACAAAAGAGGAAAAUGAUUUUAAAAACAGAUAACAAGACAAACACUCAACCGCUAAACCACCGUUAACCCUACACUGGAGUGCCCCCCGGGAAAGACUAAAAGAAAAAGAAGGAACUCGGCAAACACCUAGAGCCUCGCCUGUUUACCAAAAACACCGCCUCUUGCAAAAUUAAUGAAUAAGAGGUCCCGCCUGCCCUGUGACCAGCGUGUUUAACGGCCGCGGUAUCCUGACCGUGCGAAGGUAGCGCAAUCAAUUGCUCUUUAAAUGGGGGCCUGUAUGAAUGGCGUAACGAGGGCUCAACUGUCUCCUUUUUCAGGUCAAUGAAAUUGAUCUCCCCGUGCAGAAGCGGGGAUAAUACCAUAAGACGAGAAGACCCUAUGGAGCUUUAGACACCAAGGCAGACCAGGUUCAUCACCCCUAUUUAAAGGGUAAAACUUUUUGGCCCCUGCCCUAAUGUCUUCGGUUGGGGCGACCCCGGGGGAAAAAAAAGCCCCCGUGCGGAACGAGGAUCUAAUUCUCCUAACUAAGAGUCUCCACUCUAAUAAUCAGAACUUCUGACUUAACUGAUCCGGCAAUGCCGAUCAACGGACCAAGUUACCCUAGGGAUAACAGCGCAAUCCUCUUUUAGAGUCCAUAUCGACAAGGGGGUUUACGACCUCGAUGUUGGAUCAGGACAUCCUAAUGGCGCAGCCGCUAUUAAGGGUUCGUUUGUUCAACGACUAACGUCCUACGUGAUCUGAGUUCAGACCGGAGCAAUCCAGGUCGGUUUCUAUCUAUGUAAUGAUCUUUUCUAGUACGAAAGGACCGAAAAGAGGGGGCCUCUGCUACAGGCACGCCCCACCCCCAACUAAUGAAUACAACUAAAUUAGAGAAGGGGGCAUACCUCACCCAUGUCUGAGAAAAUGACAGGUUAAGGUAGC